GGGGAUGUAGCUCAGCGGGAGAGCACCUCGUUUGCACCGAGGGGGCCAGCGGUUCGAGUCCGCUCAUCUCCA
RNAcentral lists this transfer RNA (72 nucleotides) under Candidatus Bipolaricaulota bacterium. Its description in RNAcentral is "tRNA-Ala". It matches the Rfam family "tRNA". From Rfam's summary of the family: Transfer RNA (tRNA) molecules are approximately 80 nucleotides in length. Their secondary structure includes four short double-helical elements and three loops (D, anti-codon, and T loops). The record is from RNAcentral. Lineage: Bacteria; Candidatus Bipolaricaulota.